AUACGUAGGGUGCAAGCGUUGUCCGGAAUUAUUGGGCGUAAAGAGCUCGUAGGCGGUCUGUCGCGUCGGAUGUGAAAAUCCAGGGCUCAACCCUGGGCCUGCAUUCGAUACGGGCAGACUAGAGUUCGGUAGGGGAGACUGGAAUUCCUGGUGUAGCGGUGAAAUGCGCAGAUAUCAGGAGGAACACCGGUGGCGAAGGCGGGUCUCUGGGCCGAAACUGACGCUGAGGAGCGAAAGCGUGGGGAGCGAACAG
Molecule: ribosomal RNA, 253 nt
Filed under: uncultured prokaryote
Description: partial 16S ribosomal RNA
Rfam family: Bacterial small subunit ribosomal RNA
Source: RNAcentral